CGCUAUCACUCCUACGGGGAGGCAGCAGUGAGGAAUAUUGGACAAUGGAGGCAACUCUGAUCCAGCCAUGCCGCGUGCAGGAAGACUGCCCUAUGGGUUGUAAACUGCUUUUAUACAGGAAGAAACACCUCUACGUGUAGAGAUUUGACGGUACUGUAAGAAUAAGGAUCGGCUAACUCCGUGCCAGCAGCCGCGGUAAUACGGAGGAUCCAAGCGUUAUCCGGAAUCAUUGGGUUUAAAGGGUCCGUAGGUGGAUAAUUAAGUCAGAGGUGAAAUCCUGCAGCUUAACUGUAGAAUUGCCUUUGAUACUGGUUGUCUUGAGUUAUUAUGAAGUGGUUAGAAUAUGUAGUGUAGCGGUGAAAUGCAUAGAUAUUACAUAGAAUACCAAUUGCGAAGGCAGAUCACUAAUAAUAUACUGACACUGAUGGACGAAAGCGUGGGGAGCGAACAGGAUUAGAUACCCUGGUAG
RNAcentral lists this ribosomal RNA (469 nucleotides) under uncultured bacterium. RNAcentral describes it as "bacterial SSU rRNA". It matches the Rfam family "Bacterial small subunit ribosomal RNA", at positions 328 to 793 of the family's 1533-position model. The record is from RNAcentral.